CUGUCAGGGACUGUGAUCCACCAGCCCUGGAAGUAUUCACAGAGCUGUUAUCUAGUACCUGGAGGUUCUACAUUCUAUCCACUGGCUGCACUAAGGAAGUAUAUAUUGGUUGAAUGGAAUUGGAAGAGGAUAAGAGCACCAGACCUGUCGUCAAGAAGAUCAGAGUUCAAAUCUAACCUCACACACUUACUAGGUAAGUAAAUAUUUAACCCUAUUUGCUUGUUUCCUUCCCCGUAAAAUGAGCUAGGGAAGGAAGUGGUAAACCACUCUGGUAUCUUUUCCAUGAAAACCCCAAAUUGGGUCAAGAAGAGUCAGACAUAACUGAAAAAUGACUGAAAAUUUUCAUCUAAUUAAACAAUGGCAGCCAGGGCAAAAUGAAUAGAAAGUUGGAUGGAAGCCUAAGUGCUGGUUCAGACUCAUUUUUUUGUGUGUGACCUAAAUCAAUUAAUUUAACUUCCUUGUGUUCUAGGUGAUGAUUAUCAAACACAAAUUUCAGAGAAGAUAUGAAUCUAAGUUUGUAGGAAGAGAUUCCUCAUCCAGAAUUUCCCUAUAUCAGUGAAAUCUUAGGGCUAUUCCCUAUCUGUGACAAUUUCAAUAAGAAGUGUUAGAAUACAAAGCAACAAUCAUUUUACUCUCAACAGUUUCCCUCGGGUUCAUAUCCCAUAACAAAAACAUUAAGGAAUAUUGCAACAUAAUUUAUCUUUUCUGUAUUCUAUCUCUUACACUGAUCCUCAGGAAGGAUAUUGACUAUUUUUUUUAAACAUUAUUUUAUUUGGUCGUUUCCAUAAAUUAUUCACUGGAAACAAAGAUCAUUUUCUUUUCCUCCCCUCCCCCCCUCCUUUCCCUCUCCCAUAGCCGACACACGAUUCCACUGGUUAUUACAUGUGUACUUGACUCGACCCCUUUCCCUGUUGUUGGAAUUUGCAUUAUAGGGUUCAUUUAGAGUCUCUCCUCAGUCUUAUCCCCUCCAACCCUGUAGUCAAGCAGUUGCUUUUCAUCGGUGUUUUUACUCCCACAGUUUAUCCUCUGCUUGUGGGUAGUAUUUUUUAUAUCCCUGCAGAUUGUUCAGGGACGUUGCAUUGAUACUAAUGGAGAAGUCCAUCACCUUCGAUUGUACCACAAUGUAUCAGUCUCUGUGUACAAUGUUUUUUUGGUUCUGCUCCUUUUGCUCUGCAUCACUUCCUGGAGGUUGUUCCAGUCUCCAUGGAAUUCCUCUACUUUAUUAUUCCUUAUAGUAUUCCAUCACCAACAUAUACCACAAUUUGUUCAGCCAUUCCCCAAUUGACGGGCAUCCCCUCGUUUUCCAAAUUUUGGCCAUCACAAAGAGCGCAGCUAUGAAUAUUUUUGUACAAGACUUUUUGUCCAUUAUCUCUUUGGGGUACAAGCCCAUCAGUGCUAUGGCUGGAUCAAAGGGCAGACAGUCUUUUAUCGCCCUUUGGGCAUAGUUCCAAAUUGCCCUCCAGAAUGGUUGGAUCAAUUCACAACUCCACCAGCAAUGAAUUAAUGUCCCCACUUUGCUGCAUCCCGUCCAGCAUUCAUUACUUUCCAUAGCUGUCAUGUUAGCCAAUCUGCUAGGUGUGAGGUGAUACUUCAGAGUUGUUUUGAUUUGCAUCUCUCUGAUUAUAAGAGAUGUAGAGCACUUUUUCAUGUGCUUAUUAAUAGUUUUGAUUUCUUUGGCUGAGAAUUGCCUGUUCAUGUCCCUUGCCCAUUUUUCAAUUGGAGAAUGGCUUGAUUUUUUGUACAAUUGAUUUAGUUCUUUAUAAAUUUGAGUAAUUAAAUGUUUGUCAGGGGUUUUUAUGAAGAUUGUUUCCCAAUUUGUUGCUACCCUUCUAAUUUUGGUUACAUUGGUUUUGUUUGUACAAAAACUUUUUAAUUUGAUGUAAUCCAGAUUAUUUAUUUUGCAUUUUGUAACUCUUUCUAAUUCUUGCUUGGUUUUGAAGUAUUUCCCUUCCCAAAGGUCUGACAUGUAUACUAUUCUGUGUUCGCCUAAUUUUCUUAUAGUUUCCUUCUUUAUGUUCAAGUCAUUCACCCAUUUUGAAUUUAUAUUGGUGUAGGGUGUGAGGUGUUGAUCUAAACCUAACCUUUCCCACACUGUCCUCCAAUUUUCCCAGCAGUUUUUAUGAAAUACUGGAUUUUUGUCCCAAAAGCUGGGAUCUUUGGAUUUGUCAUAUACUGUCUUGCUGAGGUUGCUUGCCCCCAGUCUAUUCCACUGAUCUUCCUUUCUGUCUCUUAGCCAGUACCAAAUUGUUUUGAUGACCACUGAUUUAUAAUAUAGUCUGAGAUCUGGGACUGCAAGGCCCCCUUCCUUUGUAUUUUUUUUUUCAUUAUUUCCCUGGAUAUCCUUGAUCUUUUCUUCUUCCAAAUGAACUUUGUUAUGGUUUUUUCUAAAUCAGUAAAAAAAAAUUUUUGGAAGUUCCAUGGGUAUGGCACUAAAUAGAUAGAUGAGUUUGGGUAGGAUGGUCAUUUUUAUUAUAUUGGCUCAUCCUACCCAUGAGCAGUUAAUGUUCUUCCAAUUGUUCAAGUCUAGUUUUAGUUGUGUGGAAAGUGUUUUGUAGUUGUGUUCAUAUAGAUCCUGUGUUUGUCUCGUGAGAUAGAUUCCUAAGUAUUUUAUAUUGUCUAAGGUAAUUUUGAGUGGGAUUUCUCUUUCUAGUUCUUGCUGCUGAGCUGUGUUGGAAUUAUAUAGAAAUUCUGAUGACUUAUCUGGGUUUAUUUUGUAUCCUGCAACUUUGCUAAAGUUGUUGAUUAUUUCGAUUAGCUUUUUGGUUGAAUCUCUAGGAUUCUUUAAGUAGACCAUCAUGUCAUCUGCAAAGAGCGAUAAUUUGGUCUCCUCCUUGCCUAUUUUAAUGCCUUCAAUUUCUUUUUCUUCUCUAAUUGCUACUGCUAGUGUUUCUAAUACAAUAUCAAAUAAUAGAGGUGAUAAUGGGCAUCCUUGUUUCACUCCUGAUCUUAAUGGGAAUGGAUUUAGUUUAUCCCCAUUGCAGAUCAUAUUAGAUGAUGGUUUUAGAUAUAUACUAUUUAUUAUUUUUAGGAAUGACCCUUCUAUUCCUAUGCUUUCUAGUGUUUUUAGUAGGAAUGGGUGUUGUAUUUUAUCAAAGGCUUUUUCUGCAUCUAUUGAGAUAAUCAUGUGGUUCUUGUUGGUUUGCUUGUUGAUGUGGUCAAUUAUGUGGAUUUUUUUCCUAAUGUUGAACCAGCCCUGCAUCCCUGGUAUAAAUCCUACUUGAUGAUGGUGGAUGACCCUUUUGAUCACUUGCUGGAGUCUUUUUGCUAGUAUCCUAUUUAAGAUUUUUGCAUCUAUAUUCAUUAGGGAGAUUGGUUUAUAAUUUUCUUUCUCUGUUUUUGGCCUGCCUGGCUUUGGAAUUAGUACCAUGUUUGUGUCAUAAAAGGAGUUUGGUAGAAGUCCCUCUUUGCUUAUUAUGUCAAAUAGUUUGUAUAGUAUUGGGAUUAACUGUUCUCUGAAUGUUUGAUAGAAUUCACUGGUGAAUCCGUCAGGCCCUGGGGAUAGGAAGUUCUUUGAUGGCCUGUUGGAUUUUUUUUCUGAUAUGGGGUUAUUUAAGAAAACUAUUUCUUCUUCUGUUAGUCUAGGCAAUUUAUAUUUUUGUAGAUAUUCAUCCAUAUCAUCUAGGUUGGUAUAUUUAUUGCCAUAUAGUUGGCCAAAGUAGUUUUUAAUGAUUGCCUUAAUUUCCUCUUCAUUGGAGGUGAGAUCCCCCUUUUCAUCCUUGAUGCUGUUAAUUUGCCUUUCUUCUUUCCUUUUUUUAAUUAGAUUGACCACUACUUUGUCUAUUUUGUCUGUUUUUUCAAAGUACCAGCUUCUAGUCUUGUUUAUUAGCUCAAUAGUUCUGUCACUUUCGAUUUUAUUAAUUUCUCCCUUAAUUUUUAGGAUCUCUAGUAUGGUUUUCUUCUGGGGGGUUUUAAUUUGUUCGUUCUCAAGUUUUUUGAUUUGCAUUUCCAAUUCCUUGAUCUCCGUCCUCCCUAAUUUGUUAAUAUAUGCACUCAGGGAUAUGAAUUUUCCUCUAAGUACUGCCUUGGCUGCAUCCCAUAACGUUUGAAAGGAUUUUUCACCGUUGUCAUUUUCUUCAACGAAAUUAUUAAUUGUUUCUAUGAUUUCUUCUCUAACUAUCCGAUUUUGGAGUAUCAUGUUAUUUAAUUUCCAAUUAAUUUUUGAUUUGGGUCUCCAUGUACCCUUGCCGAUCAAUAUUUUGAUUGCCUUGUGAUCUGAGAAGGCUGCAGUUAUUAUUUCUGCUUUUCUGCAUUUGAGUGCCAUGUUUCUAUGACCUAGUGUAUGAUCUAGUUUUGUGAAUGUGCCAUGUGGUGCUGAAAAGAAGGUGUAUUCCUUUUUGUCACUAUUUAUUUUUCUCCAUAUGUCUAUUAACUCUUAUUUUUCUAAGAUUUCAUUCACCUCUUUUACCUCUUUCUUGUUUAUUUUUUGGUUUGAUUCAUCUAAAUUUGAUAGUGGUUGGUUCAAGUCUCCCACUAAUAUGGUUUUACUGUCUAUUUCAUCCUUCAAUUCUCCUAGUUUCUAUAUUAAAAAUUUGGAUGCUAUACCAUUUGGUGCAUACAUGUUGAUUAGUGAUAUUUCCUCAUUGUCUAUACUCCCUUUUAGCAGAAUAUAUUUACCUUCCCUAUCCCUUUUGAUCAGGUCUAUUUGUGCUUUGGCUUUGUCAGAUAUCAUGAUUGCAACUCCUGCCUUCUUUCUAUCAGUUGAGGCCCAAAAGGUCUUACUCCAACCUUUAAUUCUAACCUUGUGAGUGUCAACCCGUCUCAUAUGUGUUUCUUGAAGACAACAAAUGGUAGGGUUUUGGGUUCCAAUCCAUUCUGCUAUUUGUCUACAUUUUAUGGGUGAGCUCAUCCCAUUCACGUUCAAAGUUAUGAUUGUCAUUUGUGGAUUCGCUGGCAUUUUGGUAUCUUCCCCUAAUUCUGACCUUUCUUCUUUAGGUUUCUCCUUUUGAACCAGUGAUUUACUUUAGGUCAGUCCCCCUAGUCCCCUCCCUUGAGAUGCUUCCCUUUCUAGCCCCUCCCUUUUUAUGUUCACUUCCCUAGCCCCUCCCUUUUUAUGUUCACUUCCCCUCCCCCCUCUCCUUACCUCCCUUUUUAUACUCCCUCCCUCCUCCGCCUCGUUAAUUUUCCUUUCUUUCUUACCCAUUUCGAUAAGAUAGAAUUCAGGAUCCCACUGGAUCUAGAUGUUCUUCCCUCUCAGAUUUGAUUUCACUGAGAGUAACGUUUAAGUAAUUCCACUUCACGCUCUCUUCCUCUCCUUCUCAUAUGAGAGUUCUUCCCCUCCCCUUCCCAUGUGUAUCUUUAUAUGGGAAAGAUUAUUCUAUUGAGUCCCCCCCUAUUUCUUGAAAUUAAUCUUAGUAUUAUCAACGGUUCCUCCAUCCCUUUUCCUUUCUUUGCCCCCACUUUCCCCAAAUCUUCUUAAUGCCCCAAUCUUUCCCUAUGCAUGUUUCUUUUAACUACUCUUAUGAUGCUACAAUUUAUGAGAGUUACAAAAAACAUUUUCCCCACAUAUUAAUAUAUAUAAUUUGAUGUAAAUGUAGUCCUUAUAGAAGAGAGUUUGACUUAAAGAAAAAGAUAAGAUUUAUCUCCUUUUCCCUUUCUUUCAUAUUUACCUUUUCAUGUUUCUCUUGCUUUCUGUGCUUGGAUAUCGAACUUUCCACAGAGCUCUGGUCUUUUCUUAGCAAAUGCUUGGAAAUCUUCUAUUUUGUUGAAUUCCCGUACUUUCCCCUGGAAGUAUAUAGUCAGUUUUGCUGGGUAGUUGAUUCUUGGUUGGAGACCCAGCUCUCUUGACUUUCUAAAUAUCGUGUUCCAUGCUUUGCGGUCUCUUAGUGUGUUAGCCGCGAAGUCGUGUGUGAUCCUUAUGGGAGCCCCCUUAUAUCUGAAGCACCUCUUCUUGGCUUCUUGUAGGAUUUUCACCUUUUCUUGGAAGCUCUUGAAUUUGGCAAUUAUAUUCCUAGGGGUUAUCUUUUGGGGAUUUGGUAUAGAAGGUGUUCUAUGAAUCCUUUCUAUUUCUAUUUUGCCCCCUUGCUCCAGAACGUGGGGGCAAUUUUCUUUUAUAAUCUCUUGUAGAAUAAUAUUGAGUUUAUUGUUUAUCACUGGUUUUUUCUGGGAGACCGAUAAUUCGGAGGUUUUCUCUUUUCCCUCUGUUUUCGAGAUCGGUGACCUUCUCAGUGAGAUAUUUUAUGUUUUCUUCUGAUUCAUUAAUUUUUUGGGUUUGCUUUAUUGAUUCUUGCUGUUUUAUCAACUUGCUUUCUUCGAGUUGCUUAAUUCUGGUCGUUAGGGACUGGUUUUGCUUUUCAGCCUUGUCUGCCCUUCUAUUGGAUGCUUCGAGUUCUUUUUCCAAUUGAGCAUUCUUAUCUGUCAGACACCUGAUCUCUUUCUCCCAUUUUUCUUUCCAGGUUUCCAUCUUUUGGAUAAGUUCCAGUUUGAGAUCUUCCAGAGCUUGUUGAUAGUUUCCAUUUUGGGAGGCAUGUUCUGAUUUUUUUUGGAUUUUCUCCUCAUUCUCCUCUUUUCCUUGGGUACUUCCACCAUAAAAGUUUUCAAUAGUCACUUUUUUCCCUUUCUUCCUGGAGGCUUGAUUUUGGGCCAUGUGAGCCAUCCCUUUGGUGGUUUUAUUCUCCUUUCCUUUUUGGUCUGGGGUCUGGGUUAUAUGGGCAGUUUUUCUGUGAAUUUAGGUUGCUUCAGACUAGUUCUUUCCAGCCUCCAAGGUUUCUUAGAGUGCUGGGUCCCUGAUCACAGCCACACUGCCCAGGUGUUCAGCUCUGCCCAGAUAAUCAGCGCGUGGUCCACCCCUGGUGUUUAGCUCCGCGGAGAUGUUCAACACAGCCAUCCCAAGUACAGCUCCACUGACCCCCGUAAUCAGAGCCGGGCUCUCCAGUGAAACCGCCCUGAGACGUCUUCUCCUGGCAAUCCCCAGAUCCCAAGGACCCUGGAGUGCCCCCCCCCAGACAGAGACGUUCCCCACUCACUCGCUGUCCAGGUGAGCGCUCAGGUAGCUCACUCUGGUUUGGUGGGGGAGGUGGGGUGGGGGAAGGGCGGCUCAGUUCACUUUUCUGUGCAAGCUUUUCCUCCUUCUUAUUAUAGUGUGGAAAUAUUCAAGCCCCACGUACCUUCGCCUCUGUGGAGUACUGGGAGUACUGGGGUGUCCUUCUGUUCCUCCAAAGGUGAUUUUUAUGCUCCUUUUAUAUAGUCUAUUUCUUUCGGUGCCGGGGAGAGGAAGCGUGUGGCGUCUAGAUUGCAGCCAUGAUUACCCGGAAGUAGGAUAUUGACUAUUGACUCUUUUCUUGAAUCUCACUUUUGAUCAUCUCAUUAUUCAAACAGCUACUUUCAAACCAAAUCAUCCAGAAAGCAUCACCAAAUCAGUUAGAAAUGUAUGAUUAAUUAUUUUUUGGCCUUUAAAAAUUGUCAGAUAACAAGUUCAUGUAAUUGUUGACAUAAUUGUUGAUACUGAUAUUAUUAAUCUGUCCUUCCCACAUUUCUCGCAUUUCCUACCAUAAGCAAUUUUUUUUAAAUCUAUCCUUCACAACAUAUCUGGUAAAAUAUAGUUUUACUUUAAUCAUGAAAUUAUGUACAGAUAAGAUGACAGUGAGAAGAGUAUCAAUAGAGUGGGCAGGUUGGGCUGGGUUGUAAUUUGCAUUGUUCAGGAGAGUAACUAUAUUGAUGUAAUCACAGACACAUUGAAGCAUUGACAUAUCUCUACUAAAGGUAUCAGUAUCAAAUGCAAAAUUCUGGAAGAAGAGACAGUGUGAGUUACCUAAUAGAGCAUCACAAGUAAAUGGACACAUGAAAUACACUGAGAGAAUCCCACUGAGAGAAGUCCACUUAAAAAAGAAAACAAAAGAACAAAACAUUUCACUAACCUCUAUAAUCUUCUUAAUCUAUGAUCCUUUAUUUCUUCUUAUUUUAAUAGUCCAAUUCUUAGAGAAAUCUCUUUAGAAUUAUUGCCCAAGGUUCCUGGUAUCUCACUUCCAAGCCCUUACAAUCAGACUUCUAGAUUCAUCACUCAAAUAAAACUACUUUCUCCAAAGCUACUAUGAGUUUUCUUAGUUGAUAGUCUUUUCUCAGCCCUCUUGCUUAUUUCAAAAUGUUGACUAAACUCUUCUCAAAAAAACCUCUUACUUUAGUUUCUAUUACACUAUUCUCUCUUGGUUACCCUCCAAACUUUGUGAUUCUUUAGUAUUCCUUUUGAGCUUAUCAUGUUUCCUCCAAUUGUGGUUAUACACUAAAGCUCUUUUUAAUUACCUUCUCUAUAUAUACUUUCUUGGCAAGUUUAUCAGAUUCCCUUGGGUUCAAUUAUCCAUAUGAAGAUGAUAGAUUUACAUUCCUAGCUCUCACUUCUCUUGAAUUAUAUUCCUUUAUCAAUUACCAACUGUGGAAUAUUUCAAACCAAAUAAACCAAAGGAAUCUCAAAUUCAAUAUAUCCAAAACAAAACUGAUUAUUUUUAUCCUCAAACUAACCCUCUUCCAAACUUCCCAAUGUUUUUCCAUGGCACCACUACCUUUUAUUUACUCCUCACUCCUCACCAUAAUUCUAUGUAAUUAGUUGCAAAAUUUUGUUGUUACCACCUCUCUUAUCUAUCAAAUCUUACUCUUCCCUUCUCACACAGUCAUUAUCUUAGUUUAGAGCUUUAUCCCCUCUUCAUAGGAAUAUUUCAAAGAUCUCCUUAUCAAUUUUCCUAUCAAUGAACUCUACUGCCAUCUAGCCUCUGCACAGUUGCAAAAAAAUGAUUUUCUUUAAGCACUUUUUAAAAAAUUGAUUAUCUGCUAUGCAGAGAUGUACUGGUAAAGGUUUAUCAACUCACUAAUCCCACUCCAGCUCCUCAAACAAGUAUACAUGACAUGCUUUUAAUGUUGAUGACAAUAAUAAUAGCUAGAAUUUAUAUAGUACCUACCAGGGAAUUGGAAGUGUGUUAAGCAUUUUAUCAAUAUCAUCUCGUUUGUUCCUCACACAGCCCUGUGAGUUUAGAGCAUUUUAAGUAGAAAUAUAGGUUAAGUAACUGGUCCAAGGUCACAUAACUAGUCUGCUGGCAAAUAUCCCAAGUCAGAUUUUAACUCAGGUCUUGCUGAACCCAGCAUUCUAUCUAUUUCACCAGUCUCUUUUAAAUAUAUUUUAUUUAUAUUUAAAUAUAAUCUAUAUUAUUAAAGUUGUCUCAUCACUUUAAGUCAACAAAACAAUAAAACAAGCAUUUGCAGAUUUCUAAUGUGUAAAUUCUCACAUUGAAAGUUUAAUAAUAAGUUCUUACAAGUCAGAGCUGAUUCCAAUACACUCAUUAUUUUAUCCUUUUCUAAUGUGGUUAGCCAUUUUUUGCCCACAUUAUUGCUGAAGAAAUCAUGUCUUCUUUAUUUAGAAACAAUACAGAAGAAUUUGCAGUAAUUUCUAAAAUCCAGGUACUCUCAGUGGUUUGUUAUACACAUAAGUUAUCUAAUAGCACUAAUUCUUGCUAGUUCUAGUAGAACACUAUUGCACUUUUGUGCAAAACUUCCCCAAGUACCUGAAAGAUGAUGCUUAUUAAUAAAACCAAGAAUAAAAUGAAGGAAAAUUCGAGGGAGAUAAAGAAGGUACCGUAAAAUACAGCUUAGCCUUGUAGGUACAUAAUAAGCACAGGUUGUCAAAUCAGCACUUUUUCCAACUAUUUGAAAUACUUUAAAAUUUUAAUAUUUAUUUUUUAUAUUACAUGAAGAACAGUUUUAACAUUCAUUUAUUAAAAUAUUGAAUUCCGUGUUCUUGUUCCUUUCAUUUCUCCCUUCCCUUCUCCCUGAAAAAGGAAACAAAAAGAAAAAAGAAAAUUAUUGCAAUUCUCUGUAACAUGGAAUUAAAUAAUAUGAGUUUUACCUUUGUAAUGACCCACCCACCCUCUAGUGGAGGCAUAUUACAAAGCAGCAGUCAUCAAAACAAUUUGGUACUGGCUAAGAGACAGAAAGGAGGAUCAGUGGAAUAGACUGGGGGCAAGUGACCUCAGCCAGAUAGUAUACGAUAAACCCAAAGAUCCCAGCUUAUGGGACAAAAAUCCACUAUUCGAUAAGAACUGCUGGGAAAAUUGGAAGACAGUGUAGGAGAGAUUAGGAAUUGAUCAACACCUGACACCCUACACCAAGAUAAAUUCAAAAUGGGUGAAAGACUUAAACAUAAAGAAGGAAACCAUAAGUAAAUUGGGUAAACACAGAAUAGUAUACAUGUCAGACCUUUGGGAAGGGAAAGACUUUAAAACCAAGCAAGACAUAGAAAGAAUCACAAAAUGUAAAAUAAAUAAUUUCGACUACAUCAAAUUAAAAGGCUUUUGUACAAACAAAACCAAUGUAACUAAAAUCAGAAGGAAAACAACAAAUUGGGAAAAAAUCUUCAUAAAAACCUCUGACAAAGGUUUAAUUACUCAAAUUUAUAAAGAGCUAAAUCAAUUGUACAAAAAAUCAAGCCAUUCCCCAAUUGAUAAAUGGGCAAGGGAAAUGGAUAGGCAGUUCUCAGAUAAAGAAAUCAAAACUAUUAAUAAGCACAUGAAGAAGUGCUCCACAUCUCUUAUAAUCAGAGAGAUGCAAAUCAAAACAACUCUGAGGUAUCACCUCACACCUAGCAGAUUGGCUAACAUGACAGUUAUGGAAAGUAAUGAAUGCUGGAGGGGAUGUGGCAAUGUAGGGACAUUAAUUCAUUGCUGGUGGCGUUGUGAACUGAUCCAGCCAUUCUGGAGGGCAAUUUGGAACUAUGCACAAAGGGCGAUAAAAGAAUGUCUACCCUUUGAUCCAGCCAUAGCACUGCUGGGUCUGUACCCCAAAGAGAUAAGGGACAAAAAGACUUGUACAAAAAUAUUCAUAGCUGCGCUCUUUGUGGUGGCCAAAAAUUGGAAAACGAGGGGAUGCCCAUCAAUUGGGGAAUGGCUGAACAAAUUGUGGUAUAUGUUGGUGAUGGAAUACUAUUGUGCAAAAAGGAAUAAUAAAGUGGAGAAGUUCCAUGGAGACUGGAACAACCUCCAGGAAGUGAUGCAGAGCGAGAGGAGCAGAACCAGGAGAACAUUGUACACAGAGACAAACACACUGUGGUAUAAUUGAACAUAAUGGACUUCUCCAUUAGUGGCAGUGUAAUGCCCCUGCACAAUCUGCAGGGAUGAAGGAGAAAAAAAACACUAUCCAUAAGCAGAGGACAAACUGAGGGAGUAGAAACACCGAGGAAAAGCAACUGCCUGACUACAAUAGCUGAGGGGACAUGACAGAGGAAAGACUCUGAGCGAACACUCUCAUGCAAAUACUAACAACAUGGCAAUGGGUUCAAGUCAAGAACACAUAUGAUACCAGUGGAAUCACGCGUCGGCCACGGGGGGGUGGGAGGGAGGAAAAGAAAAUGAUCUUUGUCUUUAAUGAAAAAUGCAUGGAAAUGAUCAAAUAAAAUACUAUAAAAUUAAAAAAAAAAGAAAUCACAAAAUGACUAAUAGGCAAGAAACAGAAAUGAGAGGAGAGAUACUUCAGGAUAUUCAGACGUUUGACUAAAGUUGACAUUUGACUAAAGUUGCUCUUUAGUCUCAUUUUCUGUUCAUUUCCUUAUCUUUAGAGUAUCAUAUUCUUUUGGAAAUAUUCCUCAGGAUGAUUCAUUAAAUCUGCAUUUUUUUUUUCAUUUCAAUCUGCUGUCAAGUUUUAUAAAUACUUAAAUUUAGAUGAAGAAAGAUGAUUUUUUACUGUGACCAAGUCUUUGAUGGCCUUUUGCAUACCUCUCAAAUAUAUAGCUUUCCUAACAAACUAGUUGUAUCUUUGUUUUUAUGAAUUAAGGAAACUAAUCUUAAGAGAUUUAUGACCACAUAAUGGCAUCAAAGUGAUUCUUGGCUAUUGAGGAAUAUUCCAGGGGACCAUGAGUUCUGGAAGACACUACCAUGAAAGAAAUGUUUAAAUUAUGGUCUAGGAGAGACUACAAUUCCUUUCUAAGAACCAAAUAAAUAACUGGAUAAGCAUUACCAUUAGGGGGGCCUCUUGGUGAGGAAUUAUUUGGCCAUGCUAAUAUUAGUCUACCUAGAAGCCGCAUCCAUUACAGAAAAAAGAAAUAGGAAAGUUUUUCAUAAAUUUCUUAAUUUACUUAUUUGGUUUUAUAGAUUUGCAAGAGUAGGAAGUAUAGUACUGUUGAAUAAAUGCAUAGUUGUUUUGAAAUUAUUAGCCAUUUUCCUAAAAGAAAAUGGUUCCUAAAAUAAAGGGUUUUAAAAUUAAUAUAGAAUUUGAAUACUUUUAAAAAUUAUUCUGGUGACUAAUUCAAUGAAUAAAGUUCUUCUCUCAGUGGAUUUUGUUCUUCUACUAAAUUGUUGGGUGGUGUCACAUUACAGGUAGCCAAAUUAUUAUUAUUGUCCUACUAGUAGGAAAAGUAUAUGGGUUUAUUCAUAAAAACUCAAUAGAUAUUAUUAAAUAAGUUAAUUAAUUGAAUUAUUAAAAAUAAUAUAGCACUUUUAGAGUAAUCCUUAGAAUAAGCAGACAUUAAAUUCAAAGGCUACCCUUAAUAAAAAAGUAAAGUUUUCAGUCAAUCAAACAAAACCAAGUAUUUACUAAAUUUUACUAUUUACAAAUUUACAUUGUACUAGAAAAUGGGGUUACAGUGUUGUUCAAACAUUCCUUCUCAUAAGCAUUUUACCUUGUAAUGUGAAGUGAAGGAAUGCAAAUUUGCUAAUAGUAACAGCUGUCAUUAUCAUAGAUAUCAAUUAUAAGUUCCUUAUAUUUAAUGACAAUUAUUCAACAAUUUAAAACCAUAGUGAACAAGGCCCUUAAAAAUCUGUGUUGUGGAGGCAGGAGACAAUAAUUUUACAAAUCAUGAUGAAGCUUUAUGGUUAUUAGAAGACAUAACUGUUAUUUUUGUUAUACAAUCUUUGUUCUCUUAAAAUAAUAUGAUAGUCCCUAGAGCAAGUUUAAAUUGUGUUAAACCUGUAUUUAGCCAUUUGAUAUUUACCAGUGCUAAUAAAGGUCGUGUAGAUAAUUAUCUCUAUGUUGUUCUGUCUUGCAUUCUGUAGUAAUUUCUAUAUUGAAAUCUAUUGCCUAUCAAUAGCUAGUUUUGAAAGCAGCUUCUUUUCUGGGCUCUCUUUUCAAAGUCUUCAAAGCUUAUGACAUGCUUGUCAAAGAGGAAAAGAACCUCAAUUAGAGGACCCUGUAUCAGUCCAUACUGAAAUAUGUUAUUUCUAUUUAUGCAAUAAACACUCCUUCAUUAGUCAACAUCAAAAAGAUAUCUGAAAUAUAUUUAUUUUUCUCUUUGUUUUGACUGGAAAGCAUAUACAUUCAACAGUCAUAUUUUCUUAAGGAUAUCUGGCCUUUUCUAUAACUGUGAAAUAAAAGCAAUUUUACUUAGAGUUUUCAUAUUAUCUUUCUGUGCAUUUUUAUUCCUUCACUCACUCUUCAAGAUAUUCCAUGAAUUACCUAGUUAUAGCUUGCUCUCAGAGAAGAGUUUAAUAUCAUCCAUUUACAACUUGGUGUAAAUUUGAAUCAAUGUGUUAACUUUCCCAAGAGUGUUUAUAAUUUAAGCUUUAUCUGUAAGGAAUAAAAAGGUCAUGUCUCUGAAUUAAAAGUGACUUACAGUUUAAAAUGUCAGAAAGUAGUUUGGGGAGGCUAUCUCAGAGAAAGGGGGAAAGUGUGGAAAUUCUGAAUUCAAGUGGGUUUAGUGGCUACUAUUCUAACUGUAUAAAACUGACUGUUUCCAGGUAGCGAGUCUACUUAUUUAGUAUAGUUAAUAGUAUCAAAUUAUCAUUCCCCAGACAUAUAUAUGCUGUCAUGCUCCUCUGUUGCAGUCUCCACCUUCAACUUAACAGUCUCAGCUCUUUGUCCUAAUCCUGGGCUUCUGAUAAGUGAGCAUUCACCAAAUGCAGUCUCAAUAAACUAUACUAUUGCCUAUAUAGCCUCAACUUUCCUCUACAUAAUUUCUUCCAGGUCUGAAGACAGUAAUCACACUAACUCUACUAAAAAUACUCCUCUUUAUCCACUACUUCCCCAAAUGUGUCCAUGCUUAAUUUUAAUUUCCUUUUAUUAAUAUUAUUUUUCUAAAUUACAUAAAAACAGUUUUUACCUCUGGGUUUUUUUUUUUAAGUUUGAGCCAUAUUCACAGCAUCUUUCACUUCCUCCCUUCCCUUCUCUCUGAGAGGCAAAGCAAUCUGAUAUAGAUUUUACAUGUGAAAGUAUAAAACAUUUUUCUAUACUAGUCAUUUUGUGAAAGAGAACUCAAACAAAUAAAAAUGGAGAAAUGAAGUGAAAUAUACUAUGUGUAGGUUCACAUGCAGAUUCCAUCAGUUAUUUCUCUGGAGUUGAAUGGAAGUUUUUAUCAUGAAUCCUUGAGGAUUGCCUUGGAUCACUAUAUUGCUAAGAAUAAUGCUUAAUUUUUGUCUUUAUUUAAUGUGUUGAUUUUUAAUACUUACAUUAAAAUAUAGACACUUUGAGGCAGAACUAAGAUGAUAGGGUAUCAUGAGGAAGUGCAGCUUCCUCUCACACCCAUCCCAAACCUACCUAGAAAAGAUACAAGACCUAAUCUCAAUCAAGAAACCAAAGGAAAACAUAAUCAAAAUGAUUAUUUCCCAUCCAUAUCAGUAGAGGGAAUUAGCUAGAAAGUUAUGUGAACAUUACCAGAAAUGACCUUAUGGUUCCAUCACAAGAAGAGACUUAGGGGGCAGCUGGGUAGCUCAGUGGAUUGAGAGCCAGGCCUAGAGAUGGGAGGUCCUAGGUUCAAAUAUGGCCUCAGUGUAAAGAUUAAAAUUUGGGAAAACUGAGGAAGGAAGAAAUUAGUUUCUCUCUGCAAGAAGUAUUAUUUUUUUGAUGUUUAUUAAAGGUUAAAGAAAAUACGAGCAAGAGAAGCACGUGCUAGGUGGGCCAUGAGGCCCACCCAAAUUUCACUCACAUCAUGAGAUGUGUCUGUUUGCCAGCAGAGACAGGAAGAGAAGAGCUAAUAGCCUUUACAGGCAGGUUAAAUACCCCAUCUCACUCUCGGCCCAGGCGAGGUUACAAGGAAUUCUGGGAAGUGAGCAAGGACUCCAGGGGAUUGAAGUCCUGAAUUCAAGUCUCCAUUUUUUAUAUCAGACACUUCCUAGCUGUGUGAUCCUGGGCAAGUCACUUAACCCCCAUUGCCUAGCCCUUACCACUCUUUUGCCUUGGAACCAAUGCACAGCAUUGAUUCCAAGAUGGAAGUUAAGGGUUUUUAUAAAAAAAAAUCAAAACAAGGGGAGGGUUAUACAAUAAAAGAAUAGGUUAUGAAUUCUGGAUAGAUGAGCCUAUGCCUAUAUGAGGUAUAGAAAUAAAUUCUAACUGGUAGUUCUGUUUAUCAACCCCCAUUCCUGGUUCACAAAUACAGGUAUCUAUGCUUACAGAUGGUGUUCUACACUGAGGGACAAUUUCAGGUCUUAGGCUAUGUAGUGAGAGAAGAGAAUGUUAAGAAGAAAGAAGCAACCGAGUCAAUCUGGUCCUUGGAGUAGAAUGGAGUAUCAUUUCCAGAUUCCAGUAAAACCAGACAAGAGAAAAGGGCAGUCUGUAGUUCUAUCACUAAAGAGCAUCAGCCUAAUGCAACUGCUACAAGGACAAUCUCAGAUACCAACACAGGUCAGAAACAUUUAGAAUGCAGACCAAAAAGGAAGAAAUUGAAUUUUAUUCAAAGAUAAUUUGUUUCUAUUUUUUAUUUUUAGAAUAUUUUUCCAUAAUUGCAUGAUUCAUGUAACUGAAUGAACUGACAAGAAAUUCCACUGGAUUUAUCAUUGUUCAAAAGCUACUUCUAUGUUAUACAUAUUUGGAGGAGAGUGAUCUUUUAACAUCAAAACCCUAAUCACACUAUGUGAUGGAUCAUUUUUUUCCUCUGCAUUUCUGCUCCAACAGUUCUUUCUCUGGAUGUGGAUAGCAUUCUUUCUCCUCUGGAUUGUCCUGGUUAAUAGCAUUGCUGCUAGUAGAAAAGUCUAUUACAUUUGAUUGUGUCACGAUAUAUCAUUUUCUGUAUACAACGUUCUACUGUUUCUGCUCCUCUCACUCUGCAUCAGUUCCUGAAGGUCUUCCCAGUUCACAUGGAAUUCCUCCAGUUUAUUAUUCCUGUCACCAUAAUAAUAUUCCAUCACCAUCAGACACCACAAUUUGUUCAGACAUUCCCCAAUCGAUGGACACUCCUUCAUUUUCCAGUUUUUUGCCACCACAAAAAGUGGGACGAAAAAUAUUUUUGUCGAAGUCUUUUUCCUUAUUGUCUCUUUGGGGCACAAAUCCAGCAGUGGUAUGAUUGGGUCAAAAGGUAGGCAUUCUUUUAAAGCCAUUUGGCAUAAUUCCAAAUUUCCCUCCAGAAUGGUUGGAGUAAUUCACAACUCCUCCAGCAAAGUAUUAGUGUUAGUCACAAAUCCUCCAGCAAUGUAUUAGUAUUAGUCACAACUCCUCCAGCAAUGUAUUAAUUUUUCCACAUCCCCUUCAAUAUCACUUUCCUUUGCUGCCAUAUUGGCCAGUCUGUUAGGUGUAAGGUAGUACCUCAGAGCUGUUUUAAUUUACAUUUCUCUAAUCAGGAAAGCUUUAGAAUACUUUGUCAUGUGCUUACUGAUAGUUUUGAUUUCAUCAUGUGAAAACUGCCUAUUUGUGUCCUUGACCAUAUGUCAUUUGGGAAUGGCUUUACUUUUUGUAAAUUUGACUUAGUUCAUCAUGUAUUUUGGAAAUUAAACCUUUGUCAGAGAGUUUUGUUAUGAAAAUGUUCUCCCACUUUGUUGUUUUCCUUCUAAUUUUGGUUGCACUGGUUUUGUCCAAAGUCCAAAACUUUUUAAUUUGAUAUAAUGAAAGCCGUUCAUUUUACAUUUUGUAAUGUUCUUUAUCUCUUACUUGUUCUUAAAUUUCUUCUUUUUCUACAAAUAUGACAGGUAUACUAUUCUAUAUUCAUCUAAAUUAUUUAUGAUUUCACUUUUUACAUUUAAGUCAUUUACCCAUUUUGAAUUUAUCUUGGUAUAGGGUCUAAACCUGAUUAUUUCCCAUACUGUUUUCUAAUUUUCCCAGCAUUUUUUGUAAUAUAGUGAGUUCUUGUCCCAAUAUCUUGGACCUUUGGGUUUAUCAAACACUAGCUUCCUGAGGACAUUUAGGCCAAGUCUAUUCCAUUGAUCCUUCCUUCUGUCUCAGCCAAUACCAUAUUGUUUUGUUGACCACUGCCUUGUAGGACAGUUUAAGAUCUGGUACUGCUAGGCCACCUUCCUUCACAUUUUUUUUUCAUUUUCCCCUUGAUAUUCUUGAUCUUUUCCUUUCAGGAAAAUUUUGUUAUUUUUUGGAAUUCUAGAAAAAGAGUUUUUUGGGUAGUUUGAUAUGUAUAGCACUGAAUAAGUAAAUAGGAUUGCCAUUUUUAUUAUAUUAAUUUACCCUACC
This is a long non-coding RNA of Monodelphis domestica (gray short-tailed opossum), 17292 nucleotides long. RefSeq lists it as uncharacterized. The record is from RefSeq and is a predicted model, not a curated record. NCBI's taxonomy places the organism in Eukaryota, Metazoa, Chordata, Mammalia, Didelphimorphia, Didelphidae.